AACGUUAUUUUACUUACUCCGU
RNAcentral lists this small nuclear RNA (22 nucleotides) under Arabidopsis thaliana (thale cress). RNAcentral's name for it is "snRNA_06230". Lineage: Eukaryota; Viridiplantae; Streptophyta; Magnoliopsida; Brassicales; Brassicaceae. The record is from RNAcentral.